RNAcentral lists this ribosomal RNA (242 nucleotides) under uncultured bacterium. RNAcentral's name for it is "partial 16S ribosomal RNA". It matches the Rfam family "Bacterial small subunit ribosomal RNA", at positions 118 to 347 of the family's 1533-position model. The record is from RNAcentral.
UGGGUAACCUGCCUCAAAGAGGGGAAUAGCCUCCCGAAAGGGAGAUUAAUACCGCAUAAUAUGUUUUAAUCGCAUGAUUUUAACAUCAAAGGUAUUUUCUUAGGAAAUUCCACUUUGAGAUGGACCCGCGGCGCAUUAGCUAGUUGGUGAGGUAACGGCUCACCAAGGCAACGAUGCGUAGCCGACCUGAGAGGGUGAUCGGCCACAUUGGAACUGAGACACGGUCCAGACUCCGUAGGGAG